UACGUAGGGGUGCGAGCGUGUCCGGAAUUAUUGGGCGUAAAGGGCUCGUAGGCGGUUUGUCACGCCAGGAGUGAAAACUCGGGGCUCAACCCCCGAGCCUGCUUCUGAUACGGGCAGACUGGAGGUAUGCAGGGGAGAACGGAAUUCCUGGUGUAGCGGUGAAAUGCGCAGAUAUCAGGAGGAACACCGGUGGCGAAGGCGGUUCUCUGGGCAUUACCUGACGCUGAGGAGCGAAAGUGUGGGGAGCGAACAGG
RNAcentral lists this ribosomal RNA (254 nucleotides) under uncultured bacterium. Its description in RNAcentral is "partial 16S ribosomal RNA". It matches the Rfam family "Bacterial small subunit ribosomal RNA", at positions 524 to 776 of the family's 1533-position model. The record is from RNAcentral.